CAGUAGCUGGUCUGAGAGGACGAUCAGCCACACUGGGACUGAGACACGGCCCAGACUCCUACGGGAGGCAGCAGUGGGGAAUUUUGGACAAUGGGCGAAAGCCUGAUCCAGCAAUGCCGCGUGUGUGAAGAAGGCCUUCGGGUUGUAAAGCACUUUUGUCCGGAAAGAAAUCGCACUUACUAAUACUAGGUGUGGAUGACGGUACCGGAAGAAUAAGGACCGGCUAACUACGUGCCAGCAGCCGCGGUAAUACGUAGGGUCCAAGCGUUAAUCGGAAUUACUGGGCGUAAAGCGUGCGCAGGCGGUUGUGCAAGACCGAUGUGAAAUCCCCGAGCUUAACUUGGGAAUUGCAUUGGUGACUGCACGGCUAGAGUGUGUCAGAGGGGGGGUAGAAUUCCACGUGUAGCAGUGAAAUGCGUAGAGAUGUGGAGGAAUACCGAUGGCGAAGGCAGCCCCCUGGGAUAACACUGACGCUCAUGCACGAAAGCGUGGGGGAGCAAACAGGAUUAGAUACCCUGGGUAGUCCACGCCCUAAACGAUGUCAACUAGUUGUUGGGGAUUCAUUUCCUUUAGUAACGUAGCUAACGCGUGAAGUUGACCGCCUGGGGGAGUACGGUUCGCAGAUUAAAACUUCAAAGGAAUGACGGGACCGCACAAGCGGUGGAAUGAUGUGCAUGACUUCCGAUGCACGCGAAAAUCGUACCGUACCAUGACAUGC
Molecule: ribosomal RNA, 718 nt
Filed under: Ralstonia sp.
Lineage: Bacteria; Pseudomonadati; Pseudomonadota; Betaproteobacteria; Burkholderiales; Burkholderiaceae
Description: bacterial SSU rRNA
Rfam family: Bacterial small subunit ribosomal RNA
Source: RNAcentral